This 598-nucleotide ribosomal RNA is filed under the name uncultured bacterium. Its description in RNAcentral is "bacterial SSU rRNA". It matches the Rfam family "Bacterial small subunit ribosomal RNA", at positions 269 to 858 of the family's 1533-position model. The record is from RNAcentral.
CAAGGCGACGAUACGUAGCCGACCUGAGAGGGUGAUCGGCCACACUGGAACUGAGACACGGUCCAGACUCCUACGGGAGGCAGCAGUAGGGAAUCUUCCGCAAUGGGCGAAAGCCUGACGGAGCAACGCCGCGUGAGUGAUGAAGGUCUUCGGAUCGUAAAACUCUGUUAUUAGGGAAGAACAUACGUGUAAGUAACUAUGCACGUCUUGACGGUACYUAAUCAGAAAGCCACGGCUAACUACGUGCCAGCAGCCGCGGUAAUACGUAGGUGGCAAGCGUUAUCCGGAAUUAUUGGGCGUAAAGCGCGCGUAGGCGGUUUUUUAAGUCUGAUGUGAAAGCCCACGGCUCAACCGUGGAGGGUCAUUGGAAACUGGAAAACUUGAGUGCAGAAGAGGAAAGUGGAAUUCCAUGUGUAGCGGUGAAAUGCGCAGAGAUAUGGAGGAACACCAGUGGCGAAGGCGACUUUCUGGUCUGUAACUGACGCUGAUGUGCGAAAGCGUGGGGAUCAAACAGGAUUAGAUACCCUGGUAGUCCACGCCGUAAACGAUGAGUGCUAAGUGUUAGGGGGUUUCCGCCCCUUAGUGCUGCAGCUAACGC